RNAcentral lists this ribosomal RNA (253 nucleotides) under uncultured bacterium. RNAcentral describes it as "partial 16S ribosomal RNA". It matches the Rfam family "Bacterial small subunit ribosomal RNA", at positions 524 to 776 of the family's 1533-position model. The record is from RNAcentral.
UACGUAGGGGGCUAGCGUUGUCCGGAAUCAUUGGGCGUAAAGCGCGUGUAGGCGGUCCGGUAAGUCCGCUGUGAAAGUCGGGGGCUCAACCCUCGGAUGCCGGUGGAUACUGUCGGGCUUGAGUACUUAAGAGGAUCGCGGAAUUCCCGGUGUAGAGGUGAAAUUCGUAGAUAUCGGGAGGAACACCAGUGGCGAAGGCGGCGAUCUGGGAAGAUACUGACGCUGAGGUGCGAAAGCGUGGGGAUCAAACAGG